Molecule: long non-coding RNA, 371 nt
Organism: Sinocyclocheilus anshuiensis
Lineage: Eukaryota; Metazoa; Chordata; Actinopteri; Cypriniformes; Cyprinidae
Exons: 3
Source: RefSeq, a predicted model, not a curated record
UAAUAUACUUCCCAGAUAUGACUGAGCACUGGACUACCACAGAGGUUUGCCAGUGGCUUGAUGAAGUGUCACUGGGACACGCGAAACCAGCAUUCAUCGAAUGAAGUAGAUGGUCCAACGCUAUUAAAAAUGACUGAAAGAAUGAGUGAACGUCUCUUCCCAAAAAUCAAAGAACAGAUACAAUUUAUGUCUGCAUUGGAAGACCUGAAAUCCCACCGUGACCUCACUGAACAUGUAAUAUCACAGACCACUCCAGUGGUUCUGCACUCCAAUACUGAAGUACGGUAUCCUACAUUUCUAAUGAGUGCCCUUGAAAAGCAGGACCCGCAGCUGAAGUCUCCUACUAAGAAUAAAUAAAAAAAUGCAUUAAC